GAUGAACGCUGGCGGCGCACAUAAGACAUGCAAGUCGAACGGACUUAACUCGAAGUUUACUUUGAGAGCGGUUAGUGGCGGACGGGUGAGUAACGCGUGAGGAACCUGCCUUGGAGAGGGGAAUAACACAGAGAAAUUUGUGCUAAUACCGCAUAAUGCAGUUGGGUCGCAUGGCUCUGACUGCCAAAGAUUUUAUCGCUCUGAGAUGGCCUCGCGUCUGAUUAGCUGGUUGGUGGGGUAACGGCCUACCAAGGCGACGAUCAGUAGCCGGACUGAGAGGUUGACCGGCCACAUUGGGACUGAGACACGGCCCAG
This 315-nucleotide ribosomal RNA is filed under the name uncultured bacterium. Its description in RNAcentral is "bacterial SSU rRNA". It matches the Rfam family "Bacterial small subunit ribosomal RNA", at positions 28 to 334 of the family's 1533-position model. The record is from RNAcentral.